GCCUAUGGCCAUACCACUCUGAAUACACCUGAUCUCAUCAGGUCUCAGAAGCUAAGCAGGGUCAGGUCUGGAUGGUACUUGGAUGGGAGACAAAGAAUAAGCAUCUGGACAGAAAAUGAAAGUUAUAAGCA
Panthera pardus (leopard) is the source of this 131-nucleotide ribosomal RNA. NCBI's taxonomy places the organism in Eukaryota, Metazoa, Chordata, Mammalia, Carnivora, Felidae. The record is from Ensembl.